AACGAACGCUGGCGGCAUGCCUAACACAUGCAAGUCGAACGAUACCUUCGGGUCUAGUGGCGCACGGGUGCGUAACGCGUGGGAACCUGCCCUUAGGUUCGGAAUAACUCCCCGAAAGGGGUGCUAAUACCGGAUAAUGUCGUCGGACCAAAGAUUUAUCGCCUUUGGAUGGGCCCGCGUUGGAUUAGCUAGUUGGUAGGGUAAAAGCCUACCAAGGCGACGAUCCAUAGCUGGUCUGAGAGGAUGAUCAGCCACACUGGGACUGAGACACGGCCCAGACUCCUACGGGAGGCAGCAGUGGGGAAUAUUGGACAAUGGGCGAAUGCCUGAUCCAGCAAUGCCGCGUGAGUGAUGAAGGCCUUAGGGUUGUAAAGCUCUUUUACCCGGGAUGAUAAUGACAGUACCGGGAGAAUAAGCGCCGGCUAACUCCGUG
Molecule: ribosomal RNA, 433 nt
Filed under: uncultured bacterium
Lineage: Bacteria
Description: partial 16S ribosomal RNA
Rfam family: Bacterial small subunit ribosomal RNA
Source: RNAcentral